This 304-nucleotide unclassified non-coding RNA is filed under the name uncultured fungus. RNAcentral's name for it is "partial contains small subunit ribosomal RNA, internal transcribed spacer 1, and 5.8S ribosomal RNA". The stretch from base 1 to 73 matches the Rfam family "Eukaryotic small subunit ribosomal RNA", at positions 1759 to 1831 of the family's 1831-position model. Lineage: Eukaryota; Fungi. The record is from RNAcentral.
UCAAACUUGGUCAUUUAGAGGAAGUAAAAGUCGUAACAAGGUCUCCGUAGGUGAACCUGCGGAGGGAUCAUUAGUGAAAAAUCAUAGCAGGAGGAUGUGCUGGCCGUGCGGCAUGUGCACUCUGAAUGCAAUCCACUUACCCCUGUGCACUAUCGACCUUGACCUGCUGCCGCCAACUCGUUUGGUGCGGCCGGUCUUGGUACUUUACACACUCUUUGUCUCAGAAUGUCUCUUGUGCUUAAUGCGCAGAAAUACAACUUUCAACAACGGAUCUCUUGGCUCUCGCAUCGAUGAAGAACGCAGC